CGGCGUAAGCUGCAUAAGCCAGCUUUUCACCUUAGCCUGACCUUUGUAAGUGUCCAAUAAAAUUCCAAUAAAAUUUCCCGCGGCUAGGUACGAAUGAAUACACUUCAUUUAUUCCAUUGGCUGAUUUGAGUUUACCACCAGAACAUUGGAAACAUAUCCGCGUCUUUGUAACACUGUUUUACUGUAUGAAACAAUUUUAUCUCGAAUGAAAAGGCUUAAUAGAUAGAACAGUUUUACACUCAAUUCUCGACAUCAAUACAGUUUGUGCGUACACCUUUUAUUUUCAGAGUAUUACCAGCGCAAGAGCGUUUAUACUUAAAAGGCUAUGUUCUCAUAUUUAGUUCUUACUUCCUUAUUCCUGUCAACAUGUUAACAUGUAAAAGUAUAAAGAGCAAUGGAAGCGAGGCCUCACUUUAAAGCAUUGCAUUUCAACCCGCGAGUUCAGAGUUUAUAUACAGGUCAUCACCGGAGUUGGCGGCCAGUAAAAUAAUCGUUAUAUAAUAAAGACGCUAUCCGUGAACUAGGUGACCUGGAAUUUUCUUUAGACCAGAAAUAUGUUAAAUGAAGAUAUUCAGCAAUAUAAUUAUGGUAUGUAAAUAAUAGAUUCUUAAUGUGUUUUCAACAAUACAAUGAUAAAUAUUAUUGUUGAUAAAUUUAACAAUAAUUAUUCGUCCAUAUUGCCUAAUGUACUAAAGUGAUAUUAUGAGCAUGUAACAGUUUAUAGGUGUCUAUCGCAACCGUUGAUUAUUUUUGAUGUUUCUACUUCAUAUACACUUAUAUUAAUUAAUGCAGCAUCAUCAUACUAAAACAAUAUACCAGAAAGAGAAAAAUAAUGCAUUUGAAUAUCAACCGUACUUUCGUUUGACAACUGAUCAUGCGUUUACGAGUUGAACCUAAAUUUAGUUUUAGUGCAGAUUUGUUCAUACGACACAAAGACACGAAAUUGUUUUACGGAUCAUUUCAGCUUACAGGACUGGGUGGGUCACGUAAGAAUAUCGAAUAUAAAAUAUAUUUUUAUAAACAACUGGUAGCAAGGUGAGUUGCAGAUAAUUAAUCAGUAACCACAUUUUAACUAACUAUUUUGACCUGUUAAUUCUUUUCAGCUCAAUUCAACAGUGCAAAAUGCCCAUAAUAUCACUUUAAGCAUUAGCACGAUGAUAAUUGAUACCGUUAAUAAUCGAAUCAAAUAGCAAUGCCCGACAAACCACUAAAACAGGUUUGUUCGAAGAACGCGCCUAUAAAUACGGAUACUUCUUGUGUGGCCGGUUGACUCAUAUGUUUAAAUUUCACUUCCAUUCUUCUUGUGGUUUUCUGUUUUGUAUCUAUAGGUUUAUGACCAGCAAUAUGUUAUAAUGUAAAAUAAGCCGCGAAAACUCCCCGUAACAUCCCGUACUGCGUGUGAUGCAGCUAAGAACUGCACAGAAAAAGACAUUCGCUAUCCUUGAUCUCAUUCAUUAAACUAUUUACGCCGUAUAUCUUUUUUAAAGAUAUUUCUUGUUACUGCUAUUGUCAAGUUUUAUGGGGGUUAUUAUCGGAUUAACGGCUCCUUUAUGAUAUUGAGCAAUAAGUUAAGUAACACGGGGACAAACUGUCACGACAAUCAAUAAUUAUAAUGAUUAUUAGGGCCGCUAUUACUUUGUUACAAUCAAAACCAUGGGGCUGGCAAAAGCAUUUAAUUUCUCCACAUCAACAAAUAAAAACUUGUUUCAACAGGCAACUAGAAUGGAUGGUGGCAAUUAUCUGGGCCUUUCUGUCAGGAAAAAGGCGUGAACAACAGUCAUUUAAUUGAACCUGGAAAUCAUCCACCACUAACAGAAAACUUGUUAACAACAGAAGCUGAUGUAUAUCAUGUCCAAAUGACCAAAUAUAACUGUUAAACACUUUGAAGUGGAAUAACCGACAGUAUUCACGCCGCGAAAAAGUGGCGACAACUUUUUUUGGGCCAGUGGAACCCCUGCUUGUCCAUAACCAUUGGGCCUAUUUCUACCCAAUUCGGUAGGUAGUGACAUCUAAUAGUUCUCUACUUAGUUUGUUCAAAUUAUGCCCCUAGGAACCAAUUUGACCUUGCCCCAGGGGUCACAAAAAUGAACAUAUGCUUAAAUAAGGCCUUUUUUGUGCAAACCAGGGUUGGCAUUUUGACCGGUCAAUUGAGUAUUGACUGGGCCGGCGGUCAAUACCUGGUUAAAACCGGUCAAUACUGGUCAAUAUUGGUUGGAUUGAAAAUUAUAGCAUUUAAACAUCACAGAGCUCGACAUUAACUUUUGAAGCCACUUGUCCAGUCGGACAAGUAGACCAUAAUUUCACUUGUCCUGACAAAAAAGCAACUUGUCCUGACCAUUAUAUCUUAUUCUGCUCAGUACUUUGCAAAAUAAUGAAAUUAUACAAAAUGCUCAAAUCAUAAAGACUUGAAUCGUUUAAAAUACAUGUAAACAUAAUUGUAGGCAAUUUCAAUACAAAAAGAACUUACUAGAAUAAUAGAAAAACUCAAGAUUUUUGAUUUUUAAACAUUAUACAAAGCCAUAAUACCUGACAAAAACUUGUGUGUUGCCAACAUCAAACAGAAAAUGUUAUAAGUGAUGUAUAUGUACAGUACUUAACUGAUAUUUCAAAAAACAAAAUCAUUCUAUACAUAGAGAGGACGUCACUACGUUAAUUGUCUGUAAGACCGGUGUGUACCGGUGUCGUAAAAUUCAUAUUCUUUACAAGGGAGAAUAUUCUUGUUAUCUUGGCACAGAAAAAAAUGUUAAGGGUUGCUUCCCUUGUGAACAGUACAGUGUAGUACAUGUAUCACAUGGAACUAUUGGAAUAUCU
Long non-coding RNA from Dreissena polymorpha, 2811 nucleotides. RefSeq lists it as uncharacterized. The record is from RefSeq and is a predicted model, not a curated record. The transcript is spliced from 3 exons. NCBI's taxonomy places the organism in Eukaryota, Metazoa, Mollusca, Bivalvia, Myida, Dreissenidae.